AGUACCCGCAGGAAAAAUAUAAUAACAACGGAAAUAUUCUGAACUUGUAGCUUAUUUUGAAAUCUAUUUUAUAUAGUUUAUCAGUUAAGCGAAUUAUACAUUUGAAUAAUACUAUUAUUUGACAUUCAUUUUUUCGUCGACCGUCGAGCAUACAGCUAUAACGUGCCAUAAAUUUGCGACAAUUAUGGAAAAAAGUGUUGUAAAAUUACCAAAAAUGGCACAAAAAAAGAAAGGAUCAAUUACUUCCUUUUUUAAGUUAACACCUACUACCUCAGAAUUUAAUUGAACUCAUAACAACGAUACUCUUACGAAUAAACGAGCAUCUUCGCCAGUUAACUCGAUUGACUCUGCUAAAAUUUGUCGCACUUUAAGUUUAGAUACAAAAGACUCAAAUAAUAUUUCUUUUACUGAGGACACAAACUAUAGUAAUAAUUAUGAUAUUGAAUUUUAUAUUAACCGUAAGUUAUCGAACGAAGAUAUCUUAAUUGUUAUGACGAAAAUUUGGAUGCCAAAUAUAUCAUUCAAAUUCCCACAAAAACUAUAUACAGUUCAAAAUAAACCAAAAUACUUAAAGUUCCAGUAUUCAUGGCUAUUAAGAUUCCCUUGGUUGGUAUACUCGAUAAAAGAAAAUGGUGCAUUUUGUCGAAUCUGUGUAGCUUUUUCCAAAUCGAAUGAAAAUAACGGACAAAUCUUAGGUGCAUUAGUAAAAAAAAAAUAUGAUAAUUGGAGAAAUGCUAUUGUUGAUUUCAAAGAACAUUCUAACAAGGGUUACCAUAAAACAUGUGUGUUAAGUUCAGAUAAUUUUAUGGAUGUUGUAAAACAUCCUGAGAAAUCUAUAACGUGUAAAAUAGAAACUGGAAGAGCUGAACUAAUUAGAAAAAAUCGAAAAAAUAUAACUCCAAUAAUUCAAACCGUAAUUUUAUGUGGUAAACAAAAUAUUCCUCCUAGAGGACAUCGAGAUUUUGGGAAAAUUAUUGUUGAACAAGAAAAUGAUAGGCUUAUCCAAGAAAAUCAGGGAAAUUUUAGAGAAAUAUUAAGAUAUAGAGCCCAAGGAGAUAAACAUUUAAAAUCAUUUUUGGAAGCUGAAGGAACAAUAAAAUAUACAAGUGCAACACUUCAAAAUGAAAUAAUUGAAUCCUGCAAUAAAAUUAUUUUAAAUAAAAUCGUAACAAACAUAAAUGCCCAAAAAUGUUUCACAAUACUUGCUGAUGAAACAGCUGACAUUUGUGGAAUCGAACAAGUAUCUUUGUGUGCACGAUAUUUAGAUGUUGAAAAUAUGAUUAUCAAGGAAGAAUUUCUUCAGUUUGUGCCUACGACAGAUACUACUGGAAAAGGUUUAGCCGAUAUUAUUAUACAAGUUUAUAUUCAUUUGGUGUAGAUACAAAAUACCUUAGAGGACAGGGUUACGAUGGAUGUGCUUCUAUGUCUGGUCAAUUUAACGGAGCUCAAGCUAUUAUUCGCCAAAGUCACCCGCUUGCGACGUAUGUUCAUUGUGCUGCUCAUGUUUUAAACCUUGCUAUUUCUUAUUCAUGUUCUAUACAAGAAAUACGAAAUUGUUUAGGAACAAUAUUUAAAGUUAGAGAUUUCUUUAUAUACCCGAAGCGAAAAGAUGUGUUGAAAAGUCAAAUCGAAGAAAGCCAAGAAUGUAUGACAAAAAAAACAUUAAAACGAUUAUGUGCGACCAGAUGGGUUGAACGUUUUCGUGCUGUCAAUGAUUUUCUUGAGCUUUUUGAGUACGUAAUUGAAUCGUUAUAUAUAAUUUCGAAGUGGAGUGUUACUGAAACAUCAUAACAAGCAAGCAAUCUACGAACAUCAAUACUGAAAGGAGAUUUUAUUAUUUGUUUACUUAUUGUGAAUAAAGUAUUUAGUUUUGGGUUACCUCUUUCAAAACAAUUUCAAAGAAUAAAUAUUGAUCUAGGUGAAGCUAUGGAUCUUGCGGAAGAUACAAUAAAAGAACUUCAAACUUUAAGAUCGAAUGCUGAGUCUGAAUUUCAUAAAAUUUUUGAAAAUGCAUUGACUUUAUCAAAUAAACUAGAUACAAAUAUUUCCAUACCACGUAUUAUAGGAAGACAAACGAACAGAGUAAAUAUUGAGACAAAUUCACCAGAGUCAUAUUUUCGAGUUGCUUUUUUUAUUCCUUACAUAGAUACAUUUAUAGAUCAACUAAAUUUAAGGUUUGUUAAUCAAAAAAUGUUGUUAUUGGACUUCAAAUCAUUAAUUUCAACAGACGAAAAUGAAGCUCACUUCUUACGUUUGGCGCAAAUGUACAUGUUUGACUUAAAUGAAUGCGAAGAAUCUGUGUUACUGGCAGAGUUCAAAUUAUGGAAAAGACGUUUAGAAAGUAUUAAAUCAUCAAAUACACCAAGAAAUGCCAUGGAAGCAAUAGUUUUAUGCAAUAGCCAAAUUUAUCCAAAUGUAUUUAAACUCUUACAGAUUUUUGCAACUUUACCAGUAUCAACUGCAUCUAAUGAGAGGUCGUUUUCUAACUUGAAAAGAAAAAAGACAUACUUGCGAAACACAAUGACACAAGGGUGGUUAAAUGGUUUGGCUAUGCUAGCCAUUAACAUAGAAGUUUGCAUUGAUACCAGUGAAGUAAUUGAUAAUCUAAGUAAAAAGAAGAGACGCCUAGAUCUUAUAUUAUAAAUUUAGUUUUAAAGUUCAAAAAUUGUUAAUUUUACUAUAAUCUUUAAAAUACAAAAAUAUAAGAAAUAAAGAUCAUGAAAUAUUAAAAUAAAUCUCAAUAUCGUUGUAU
Molecule: RNA transcript, 2752 nt
Organism: Daktulosphaira vitifoliae (grape phylloxera)
Lineage: Eukaryota; Metazoa; Arthropoda; Insecta; Hemiptera; Phylloxeridae
Gene name: 52 kDa repressor of the inhibitor of the protein kinase-like
Exons: 3
Source: RefSeq, a predicted model, not a curated record